UCCCUGGUGGCUCAGAUGGUAAAGCAUCUGCCUGCAAUGCAGGAGACCCGGGUUUGAUCCCUGGGUCGGGAA
Molecule: transfer RNA, 72 nt
Organism: Ovis aries (sheep)
Lineage: Eukaryota; Metazoa; Chordata; Mammalia; Artiodactyla; Bovidae
Rfam family: tRNA
About the family: Transfer RNA (tRNA) molecules are approximately 80 nucleotides in length. Their secondary structure includes four short double-helical elements and three loops (D, anti-codon, and T loops).
Source: Rfam